GACGAACGCUGGCGGCGUGCCUAAUACAUGCAAGUAGAACGCUGAAGGAGGAGCUUGCUUCUCUGGAUGAGUUGCGAACGGGUGAGUAACGCGUAGGUAACCUGCCUGGUAGCGGGGGAUAACUAUUGGAAACAAUAGCUAAUACCGCAUAAUAGUAGAUGUUGCAUGACAUUUACUUAAAAGGUGCAAUUGCAUCACUACCAGAUGGACCUGCGUUGUAUUAGCUAGUUGGUGGGGUAACGGCUCACCAAGGCGACGAUACAUAGCCGACCUGAGAGGGUGAUCGGCCACACUGGGACUGAGACACGGCCCAGACUCCUACGGGAGGCAGCAGUAGGGAAUCUUCGGCAAUGGACGAAAGUCUGACCGAGCAACGCCGCGUGAGUGAAGAAGGUUUUCGGAUCGUAAAGCUCUGUUGUAAGAGAAGAACGAGUGUGAGAGUGGAAAGUUCACACUGUGACGGUAUCUUACCAGAAAGGGACGGCUAACUACGUG
This 495-nucleotide ribosomal RNA is filed under the name uncultured bacterium. RNAcentral's name for it is "partial 16S ribosomal RNA". It matches the Rfam family "Bacterial small subunit ribosomal RNA", at positions 28 to 507 of the family's 1533-position model. The record is from RNAcentral.